AGCAGUCGCCACGGUAAUACGGAGGAUCCAAGCGUUAUCCGGAAUCAUUGGGUUUAAAGGGUCCGUAGGCGGUCUUGUAAGUCAGUGGUGAAAGCCCAUCGCUCAACGGUGGAACGGCCAUUGAUACUGCAGGACUUGAAUUAUUGGGAAGUAACUAGAAUAUGUAGUGUAGCGGUGAAAUGCUUAGAGAUUACAUGGAAUACCAAUUGCGAAGGCAGGUUACUACCAAUUGAUUGACGCUGAUGGACGAAAGCGUGGGUAGCGAACAGGAUUAGAUACCCCAGUAGUCCCUGUCUCUUAUAC
This 303-nucleotide ribosomal RNA is filed under the name uncultured bacterium. RNAcentral's name for it is "partial 16S ribosomal RNA". It matches the Rfam family "Bacterial small subunit ribosomal RNA", at positions 507 to 807 of the family's 1533-position model. The record is from RNAcentral.